RNAcentral lists this ribosomal RNA (421 nucleotides) under uncultured bacterium. RNAcentral describes it as "bacterial SSU rRNA". It matches the Rfam family "Bacterial small subunit ribosomal RNA", at positions 102 to 518 of the family's 1533-position model. The record is from RNAcentral.
ACGGGUGCGUAACGCGUAUGCAACCUGCCCCCAUCAGGGGAAUAGCCCGCCGAAAGGCGGAUUAAUGCCCCCAGUAGGCCCAGGGCGCCGCAUGGCGCUAGUGGGUAAAGCUCCGGCGGAUGGGGAUGGGCAUGCGUGCCAUUAGCUAGUUGGGCGGUAACGGCGCACCAAGGCGACGAUGGCUAGGGGGUCUGAGAGGAUGGUCCCCCACACUGGUACUGAGACACGGACCAGACUCCUACGGGAGGCAGCAGUGAGGAAUAUUGGUCAAUGGGCGGAAGCCUGAACCAGCCAAUGCCGCGUGCAGGAUGACGGCCCUACGGGUUGUAAACUGCUUUUCCCCGGGAAGAAUAAGCCCCUCGUGAGGGGUGAUGCCGGUACCGGGGGAAUAAGGAUCGGCUAACUCCGUGCCAGCAGCUGC